GACGAACGCUGGCGGCGUGCUUAACACAUGCAAGUCGAGAGAGAAACCUUCGGGUUUCUAGCGGCGGAGGGGUGAGUAACACGUGGGUAACCGGCCUCAAAGAGGGGACUAGCCUCCCGAAAGGGAGAUUAAUACCGCAUAAUAUUACAGCUUCGCAUGAAGCAGUAAUUAAAGGAGUCAGCCGCUUUGAGAUGGACCCGCGGCGCAUUAGCUAGUGGGAGAGGUAACGGCUCACCAAGGCGACGAUGCGGAGCCGACCUGAGAGGGUGACCGGCGACAUUGGAACUGAGACACGGUCCAGACUCCUACGCGAGGCAGCAGUGGGAAAUAUUGCACAAUGAGCGAAAGCCUGAUGCAGCAACGCCGCGUGAGUGAUGACGGUCUUCGGAUUGUAAAGCUCUGUCUUUUGGGACGAUAAUGACGGUACCAAAGGAGGAAGCCACGGCUAACUACGUGCCAGCCGCCGCGGUAA
RNAcentral lists this ribosomal RNA (472 nucleotides) under uncultured bacterium. Its description in RNAcentral is "partial 16S ribosomal RNA". It matches the Rfam family "Bacterial small subunit ribosomal RNA", at positions 28 to 523 of the family's 1533-position model. The record is from RNAcentral.